Molecule: ribosomal RNA, 468 nt
Filed under: uncultured bacterium
Lineage: Bacteria
Description: partial 16S ribosomal RNA
Rfam family: Bacterial small subunit ribosomal RNA
Source: RNAcentral
GACGAACGCUGGCGGCGUGCUUAACACAUGCAAGUCGAACGGAAAGGCCCUGCUUUUGUGGGGUGCUCGAGUGGCGAGCGGGUGAGUAACACGAGAGUAACCGGCCCUUGACUUUGGGAUAACUUAAGGAAACUGAGGCUAAUACCAGAUAGGAGCUCCUGCUGCAUGGUGGUGGUUGGAAAGUUUAGGCGGUUGGGGAUGGACUCGCGGCUUAUCAGCUUGGUGGUGGGGUAGUGGCUUACCAAGGCUUUGACGGGUAGGCGGCCUGGGAGGGUGACCGGCCACCUUGGGACUGGGGACCGGCCCAGACUCCUACGGGAGGCAGCAGGGGGGAAUUUUGCACAAUGGGAGGAAGCCUGAUGCAGCAACGCCGCGUGCGGGAUGACGGCCUUCGGGUUGUAAACCGCUUUCGCCUGUGACGAAGCGUGAGUGACGGUAAUGGGUAAAGAAGCACCGGCUAACUACGUG